GGCAAGAGGUAGCAAUAGCAGCAGCAGCAUCAGUAGCAGCAGCAGCAUCAGUAGCAGCAGCAGCAGCAGGCAGACACGACCUGUGGAAGAACGACGAACAGUGGACGACGGCCGAGCCAAAUGUAGUUGGCCAAGAAGCCAAAUGAGUUUGCUUCUAUUAUUACACUCCACCCAGCCGUGAUCCACCGAGAAGAGGAGAGCCACGCGAGCCCAUGAGCCAUGAGCUACGACGACCAGCCACUACGGGACCCAGCAGACUAUCCUCCUCCUUUAUCUCUAUUUCUUUUUCUCUCUUUCUCUGUCUGUCCUUCCCUUAAUCCAUCCAUCCAUCCAUCUUAUUCUCUCUCUCUUUCUCUCUCUGUCUUUCUGUCUCUCUCUCUCUCUCUCUCUCUCUCUCUCUCUCUCUCUCUCUCUCUCUCUCUCUCUCUCUCUCUGUCUGUUUGUCUGUCUGUCUUUCUUUAUUUCUUUUUUAUUCUUACACUGUUAAAUCCGACGAGACGACGUCGAAUUACAGACUGUAACCGGACCAAAAACAUGUAUUUAUUCUUAUUCCAUUUCAUCCUUGAUCCAUUCGAUACAAUGCGACACAGGCUGAAUCAAAAGUUUUUUCCUAGAACGACCACACCUGCCCGCACCUAAAACCAUUGUAAAUCGUGAAACGUCAAAUGCUUACUAGUACCUACGUAUCUAUAAACGAACGGGAGGAGAGGGGGGGAAUGGAAGGAAGAGGAAAAAGAGAAAAAAGUGAACAAAAAAAAAAAAAAAAUAUCAAAACCGACUAAGUCAUUAUCUUUGUAACUUGCUAAUUAACUGAAUACCUUACUAUAUAUGAAACGAAACGAUAUAAGAAAGAAAAAAAAAAAAUUCAUGAAUUCCAUUAGAAACAUAAAUGGUAUUAUCGGCGAAACACAUAACUUAUCAAAAAAAAAAAAAAAAAAAAAAAAAAAAAAGAAAGAAACUUCGUUCGAUAAAAGAAAAAGAGGGGAGAAAGAAAAAAGAAAGAGAAAGAAGAAAAAAAGAAAAAGAAACAGAGAAAAAGAUUGUACGCAUAUAACUCAUACGUUAAUCUUAAUGACUCGAGUUAAGUGCCUGCUAUUUGCAAAGCUGAAAACGAAGGCCGAAAUGACAAAAAAAAA
Molecule: long non-coding RNA, 1136 nt
Organism: Vespa velutina
Lineage: Eukaryota; Metazoa; Arthropoda; Insecta; Hymenoptera; Vespidae
Exons: 3
Source: RefSeq, a predicted model, not a curated record